Molecule: ribosomal RNA, 465 nt
Filed under: Vreelandella stevensii
Lineage: Bacteria; Pseudomonadati; Pseudomonadota; Gammaproteobacteria; Oceanospirillales; Halomonadaceae
Description: partial 16S ribosomal RNA
Rfam family: Bacterial small subunit ribosomal RNA
Source: RNAcentral
CCUACGGGUGGCAGCAGUGGGGAAUAUUGGACAAUGGGGGGAACCCUGAUCCAGUCAUGCCGCGUGUGUGAAGAAGGCCCUCGGGUUGUAAAGCACUUUCAGUGAGGAAGAACGCCUGGUGGUUAAUACCCAUCAGGAAAGACAUCACUCACAGAAGAAGCACCGGCUAACUCCGUGCCAGCAGCCGCGGUAAUACGGAGGGUGCGAGCGUUAAUCGGAAUUACUGGGCGUAAAGCGCGCGUAGGUGGCUUGAUAAGCCGGUUGUGAAAGCCCCGGGCUCAACCUGGGAACGGCAUCCGGAACUGUCAAGCUAGAGUGCAGGAGAGGAAGGUAGAAUUCCCGGUGUAGCGGUGAAAUGCGUAGAGAUCGGGAGGAAUACCAGUGGCGAAGGCGGCCUUCUGGACUGACACUGACACUGAGGUGCGAAAGCGUGGGUAGCAAACAGGAUUAGAUACCCGUGUAGUC